ACAGUCUUCAGCAUCUGGUUUUCAUGAUGAUCAAUGACAGAAGCUGGAGGAAUUACAGUUUGUCUUCUACAUUCAGUCACAUCUUACUGUGUGCAAGCAGGCUGCUUUACUGGCUGUUCUUACCCACAAUCCUUUGCACAGCAGGCGGCUUCAGACUGAUACGUGGGGAAGUUGUUCCGCCCCAACAGGUUCAACCUGAUCAUCAAAGUGGAGUGAAGAAUAAAAACACUCUCAGCUCAGACUCUGUUGUCUUAGUGGAUGUUUUUAUUCAAUAUAAACUCUUCACUACAUUUGUUACAAAGGUUUCUGCUUCAUCACAUGUUCCCUACUAGUCUACAUGUAGAAGAAGACCAGGUGACAAAGAGGGGCGUGCACGGGUCCUCUGAACCAUCUGGUCCAACAACAGCAUCCAGUCUGUUGUCAUAGCAACUCUUUACAAGGUGGAAGGAUCGUUCCACAGAUGCUGGUUUUGUUCCUGAAAGACUCUUGUUGAGCCGUGAGGAGGAUUCUGUUCACGAGGACCUUUGACCCUGUUAACAGCUCAGACUGAGACUCAGUCAACCUCUCUGAGGACACACCCUCUCUGAUGAAGGACAACAAGCUCCAACAAGCUGCAACACUUCACUCCGUCUGAUGGAAGCUGAAGUGAAGCACGGAGCUCCUUUUCUACACGGACCUGCUGAGGACAGAAGAGAGCUGCUCACUGAGGAAGUUCAUGUCUACGAGCUCAGCAGAGAGAAGCUGCUGUUAGUCUGAAUGAUGACGCUGUGAUGAAGAAGAGGAGCUCAGUCUGAUCUGGGGUCUGUGAGGACUGUUACUGAUGAGGAGGGGAAGGUAGCAGACGGAGGGGCACUAGGACCCAGCAGGGACCACAGAGCUCACCUGGGCCUUUGUUCCUGAAACACACCUGAGAGACGCUCUGUUUGUCUCACCUGCUGUUUCAGUCCUUUAAGGCAAGGCAAGGCAAUUUUAUUUGUAUAGCACUUUUCAUACACAAGGCAGACUCAAAGUGCUUCACAUCAUAACAUUUCAUACAAUAAAGUGAAAUAAAAUGCAGGAAUUAAAGGAAUUAAAAACAGCAAAUAAAAUUAUAGAUUAAAAUCUUAUUUAAAUUGUUCAAUUAAAGGCAGAGGUAAAAAGUGCAAUGUAGGUCAAAUUUAUCAGAAGGCGAAGCUGAACAUAAAAGUUUUCAGUCUUGUUUUAAACGUGGUCAGAGU
This is a long non-coding RNA of Gasterosteus aculeatus aculeatus (three-spined stickleback), 1217 nucleotides long. The record is from Ensembl. NCBI's taxonomy places the organism in Eukaryota, Metazoa, Chordata, Actinopteri, Perciformes, Gasterosteidae.